UUGGGUACAGUGCAAGAUGCUUGGGUGAUGGGUGCACUGAGAUCACCAUUAAAGAACUACUUUCCCAAAAACUAUUGAAAAAAAAAGUGGCAGCUAAAUUAAGCCCUAAAGAAUGGUUAGGAUUUUCACAUGUAAAGAUUACAGGCCAGGCAUGGUGUCUCACGCCUGCAAUUUUAGCACUUUGGGAAGCCAAGGCAGGAGGAUUGCUUGAGCCCAGAAGUUCAAGACCAGCUUGGGCAACAUGGCAAAACUUCGUCUCUACAAAAAAUACAAAGAAUUAGUCAGGCGUGGUAGUGUGCACCUGUAGUUCCAGCUACUCAGGAGGCUGAGGUGGUAGGAUCACCUGAGCCCCAGGAGGUCAAGGCUGCAGUGAGCUGAAAUCAUGCCACUAUACUCUAGCCUGAGCAACAGAGUGAGACCCUAUCUCGAAAAACAACAACAACAACAACAAACAUUACAGAUAGGAAGGCAUUCCAGAUGGAGGUAACUGUACAAAAGUAUGGAGGUUGAAAGAAAGCACUAUGUCUAAAGCAGGGUUUCUCAAUCUCAGCACCGCUACCAUUUUGGGCCUGAUAAUUCUGUGUUGUUGGGGGGUGGGGGGGUUUGCCUGCACAUUUCUGUACACUGUAGGAGGUUCAGCAGUAUACCUGGCCUCUACCCACUAGAUGUUAAGCAGUAGCCCCCAGGUUGUAACCACCAAAAAAGUCUGUAGACAUUGUCAGAUGUCCCCUGGUGAGUGGCGGUACAGGGCAAUAUCUCCUCUGACUGAGACCCUCUGGCCUUUCUAGGAAAGAAAUUAAAAUAUAUUUGUUGUCAUGUCAAAAGAAGUGUAAAGAGGCUACUACUUGCUCUAUGUAUAAUGCAAAGGAUACCUAGUCAAGUUCUUUCUUGGAGGAAAUAACUAUCAGAAAGCCAUAGCAGUACAUGACUUUAUGAAUGAAAUCAAUGUCUCUAUGACUCUUCUGAGGGAAGCUAAAACAAUUCUUAUUCUGGAAAACGCUGUAUAGUCAAGAGAGUUAAGCAAAACACAGAACACAUUACAAGCUUUUUAUGUAAAAGUAAUUUUACCUUGUCUUGCUGUGUAUUCAUUGUCUUCAAUUAACCUUGCUAAACCAAAGUCUGCUAUUUUGCACACAAGAUUUUCUCCUACAAGAAUAUUAGCAGCCCGAAGAUCUCGGUGAAUAUAGUUCAUUCUUUCAAUAUAUGCCAUACCAUCAGCAAUCUUGGAAAGAGAAAAACAAAAAACACAAGACACACGAUACAAAGGGAAGCAGAGAGAAGACAAUUAUGGUUAAUGUCAAAUUGUGUCACUGAAAAUCAUAUUAUCUUAGAAGGAGAUGAUGGUAACAGGGUAUAGUCUAGAUAACAGGAAAACCAGAAAACAUAAUAAAAAUGCAGGCUAAAUUCAGAUUUCAAAAAUCUAACACUGGCUGGGUGCGGUGGCCCACACCUAUAAUCCCAUUAAUUUGGGAGGCCGAGGAAGGCGGAUCAUUUGAGGUCAUGAGUUCGAGAUCAGCCUGGCCAACACGGUGAAACCCUGUCUCUAUUAAAAAUACAAACAUUAGCUGGGUGUGGUGGCACAUACCUGUAGUCCCAGCUACUCAGGAGGCUGAGGCAGGAGAAUCACUUGAACCCAGGAGGCAAAGGUUGCAGUGAGCCAAGAUUGUGCCACUGCACUCCAGCCUGGGCAACAGAGCGAGACUCAGCCUCAAAAAAA
RNAcentral lists this non-coding RNA (1717 nucleotides) under Pan troglodytes (chimpanzee). Lineage: Eukaryota; Metazoa; Chordata; Mammalia; Primates; Hominidae. The record is from RNAcentral.